Molecule: transfer RNA, 72 nt
Filed under: Streptomyces sp. ATE26
Lineage: Bacteria; Bacillati; Actinomycetota; Actinomycetes; Kitasatosporales; Streptomycetaceae
Also listed under: 13 other names
Description: tRNA-OTHER
Source: RNAcentral
CGGGGCACGUAGGUGGUGUACCGCCUGCCGGUUUCCGGCAGCCAGUUGCUGGUUCGACUCCAGCUGCCCCGA